This 1157-nucleotide long non-coding RNA is filed under the name Sorghum bicolor (sorghum). RNAcentral's name for it is "long non-coding RNA (SBIC_LNC015418)". The record is from RNAcentral. Lineage: Eukaryota; Viridiplantae; Streptophyta; Magnoliopsida; Poales; Poaceae.
CUAGGGCUCAAGGACCCCAGAUCCUUCAGCAAGCUCAUCACUGACACAGACAGCGACUCACUCCUGAGGAUCAACCACUACCCUCCAGCAUGCACCAUUCAGAAGCUUGACCAUGACAACCAAUGCAAGAUGAAGAGCAGUUUCAGAAUCAAGACUGGCAAUGGUGUGAACCAGUCAGCAGGUGCACGGAUCGGAUUCGGGGAGCAUUCAGACCCGCAGAUUCUUAGCUUGCUCCGAUCAAACGAUGUUGACGGCCUUCAGGUGCUUCUGAACUGCGACGGCAGGGAGGUGUGGGUUCAGGUGCCAUCCGAUCCAUCAGCAUUCUUUGUCAAUGUUGGUGAUCUCCUCCAGGUAAAGGCAUCAGUUUACCUGAAAAUAAACAGCACUAGUAGAUAAAGUAAAUGAAAAUUGCUUCUAUGAGCUACUUAGAAAUUAAAUUAGCAGACUCUUAAGUCUAAAACAAGCACAGAGGCUAGGCACAACUCAGCACCCCCACCAUUAGUACUCACAUAUGAAAUUGCAUUAUGCAACUCCCGUCUCAGUGCAUCAUAGAAAUAGAUUCUUCACUUACUAAAAACAUGAAAAAGAAAUGUAUCUCUAUUUGAUUCGAACUCUAAAUAGACACCAGGUUAGCUAUUGCUCCUUUUGUGAAAAGAUGGGUCGGCACUGAUAUUUUUGGACACAUCUCUUGGACUGCAUCAAGUACAUCAUACCAACUGACAAGAAUUUCUGUUUUUGUCUUGUUAGUUGUUACUACAUCUGAAUCUAACAAUAACCAGAUAUCAAUCCAUAGUGCAACAAUACAAUAUUAUGUCUCUCAUACUUGGUUUGUAUUCAUCUCUCCUUUCCCUUUCUUGUUCCCAGGCUUUGACAAAUGGGAAGGUGAUAAGUGUCCGGCACAGGGUAAUUGCAAACUCCUGCAGGGCAAGGCUGUCCACAAUCUACUUCGCUGCGCCGCCACUGCAUGCACGAAUUUUGGCCCUCCCAGAGACAAUCACAGCCAACUCACCCCGCCAGUACCGGCCCUUCACCUGGGCCGAGUACAAGAAGACAAUGUACUCCCUCCGCCUGAGCCACAGCCGCCUCAACCUCUUCCACAUCGACCAUGAUGACCACAGCAAUGUCGGCAAAGGAGAACAAGAAUAGGGAGCACUUGC